AAAACUUUCAACAACGGAUCUCUUGGUUCUGGCAUCGAUGAAGAACGCAGCAAAAUGCGAUAAGUAAUGUGAAUUGCAGAAUUCAGUGAAUCAUCGAAUCUUUGAACGCACAUUGCGCCCGCCAGCAUUCUGGCGGGCAUGCCUGUUCGAGCGUCAUUUCAACCCUCGACUUCACGUCUUUACGGACGAGAAGCCGGUGUUGGGG
Molecule: ribosomal RNA, 205 nt
Filed under: Simplicillium lamellicola
Lineage: Eukaryota; Fungi; Ascomycota; Sordariomycetes; Hypocreales; Cordycipitaceae
Description: 5.8S ribosomal RNA
Rfam family: 5.8S ribosomal RNA (bases 3-156)
About the family: 5.8S ribosomal RNA (5.8S rRNA) is a component of the large subunit of the eukaryotic ribosome. It is transcribed by RNA polymerase I as part of the 45S precursor that also contains 18S and 28S rRNA.
Source: RNAcentral